GCGGGCCAUCGUAGUCUAGACGUAUGGCUGCAGCUUGACGAAGAGCCUGUCGCCCACAAAGAAGGUGUGGAGCGUGCGCUUCUUGUCCUCUUGGGCUUUCAUGAUACUAGGGGCUCGAUGAAGGUGUUCGGAGAGAACUUGUUGCAUGUGUUUGCGUUCUUUGAGCCAUUUCUUGAAUGGGGGAAGUUUGCAGGUGGAAGGUGCUUCAAUUUGUUGGAAAUAUGCCCUAGAGGCAAUAAUAAAAUAGUUAUUAUUAUAUUUACUUGUUCAUGAUAAUCGUUCAUUAUCCAUGCUAUAAUUGUAUUGAAUGGGAACUCAAAUACAUGUGUGGAUACAUAGACAACACAUUGUCCCUAGUGAGCCUUUAAUGGACUAGCUCAUUGAUCAAAGAUGGUCAAGGUUUCCUGAUCAUAGACAAGAGUUUUCAUUUGAUAACGUGAUCACAUCAUUAGGAGAAUGAUGUGAUGGACAAGACCCAAACUAUGAAUGUAGCAUAUGAUCGUGUCAGUUUAUUCCUAUUAUUUUCUGCAUGUCAA
RNAcentral lists this long non-coding RNA (536 nucleotides) under Hordeum vulgare. Its description in RNAcentral is "long non-coding RNA (HVUL_LNC019349)". The record is from RNAcentral. Lineage: Eukaryota; Viridiplantae; Streptophyta; Magnoliopsida; Poales; Poaceae.